AUGAUGAUGUCACUGACUCUACUGCUGGCCACCCUGGGGCUCCUUGUUCAGGGUUCAUCAGGAGAAAUCAUCCUGACUCAGUCUCCUGGAUCUCAGUCUGUUGUUCCAGGACAGACUGUCUCCAUCAGAUGUAAAACCAGUUCAAGUGUUAGUAGCUUCCUCAACUGGUACCUUCAGAAAUCUGGAGAAGCUCCUAAACUCCUGAUUUAUCAAGCUACAAACCUUCAGCCUGGAGUUUCAGAUCGUUUUAGUGGAAGUGGAUCUGGGACUGACUUCACUCUGACCAUCAGUGGAGUUCAGGCUGAAGAUUCAGGAGUUUAUUACUGUCAGCAGAGUGGUUACAGCAGCUCGUUCACACAGUGA
Non-coding RNA from Thunnus maccoyii (southern bluefin tuna), 363 nucleotides. The record is from the annotation of a RefSeq genome assembly. NCBI's taxonomy places the organism in Eukaryota, Metazoa, Chordata, Actinopteri, Scombriformes, Scombridae.